RNAcentral lists this long non-coding RNA (3001 nucleotides) under Strigops habroptila (Kakapo). RNAcentral's name for it is "lncRNA (ENSSHBG00005007015.1)". Lineage: Eukaryota; Metazoa; Chordata; Aves; Psittaciformes; Psittacidae. The record is from RNAcentral.
GGAAAAGUCCAAAACUCAGUCGCUGCCCUGUGAGUGCUGGGGAUGGGAAACAGCAGUGCGCUCGGACCUUCCUUUGGGAAAUUGCCUGGAAACUGGGUGUUAACUCCUUUACAGAUGGCUUGGAGCAUGCAGAUGCUCAGCCCAGCCAGGUCUUCACCCUUCCUAAUGAGCGGGCUUGGUGACCUCUUGGACAGGACGCCUGGAAGCCCUGCCAGCGGAGGAUGAGGAGGCAGCUUUGUGGGGCAGCAGCGCCAUCUCCAGCCAGCCUCCUGCGGGCAGUUCAGACGCUUCUCCACCCCAUGGUACCUCUUAGUCUUCAGUCACUCCUUUGGAAACAACUCACCACUUGAGUAUUUUACACGUUUGUGGAUUUUUUUUUUUUAAUGUGUUGCCUUUAUUAAAUGUGUUUGUUCCAAGACAGCCUUACUGCCUGCUGUCAACACUUCACUCUUGUACAACUUCUUGUCUUUUGUUGACCUCUAGCUUUGGUGAUGAGUUAGCCACUGUCUCAGCUUUCCUAUCUUUUGUGUCAAGCAAUAAUGAAGGAGGCAGAGUCUUGGUUCAUUUUCCUGUUCACCUGGCAUUGUCUCAAGUACAUGUUUGGAGACCACCAGCCUGCUGAGAUCUCCAAAGGGCUUUCUAUGGAUUUCUGCAUUUCAUAUUAUUAUACUUCUAAAUACUUUGAGUAGAUUCCUACUUGUGCUCUGAGAUUUGUGACAUGAUAAUGAUGGGUUAAAUAUAAUUUAUUUAUUUCUUUUAUUAGUGAGAGCUCAGACAGGUGAGUGUCUUCAGACUGGCAGUGUCUUAAAACAGAGACGGCUGUUGGUGUGCUGACUCAGCAUUACUUCCACCUCACAUUCAGAACAUCAAAUGUGAUAGCUUCCACUCUUUGGUCACUUGAAUUCCUGAUAUAAAUAUCUCUGCAAAAUGAUGGAAUAGUGGCAUGUUUUCAUGAAGUCACAGUGGAGAUGCUGCUGCAUUUGAAGUACGUGUAGAUAAAUUAAACAUCAUUUUACUUCUGCCAUCUACCUCCCUACUGCUGUCCCCAGUUCUCCCCUUUAUUUGGAAUAGCUUCUAACGCAGGUUCAUCUGAUAAAAUGGUGGAAAUAUGUGCUUAGUGUCCCUGCUGUGGUGGUUAGAAGCUGCUGGUCAGUUGUGAGGAGUUAGAGCCUCAUACCUUUGAGCUGGAGUUUCAGGCUCUGUUUGCAGAUGGAGAGUAAAGUGUGCCUUCAGCUGGCUGUCACCACGACUAGUGGGUACACAAGGAAGUUUUGGUUGUUCAGGGUGGAACAGACAAACAGAGUGCAGUGCAAAGUCAAAUUUGGGAAUUCAGUGCUGCAGAAUGUAGUGGGGAUGAGAAGUAUAAGUAUUUAGAUGAGAUAUUGGGACAGAAGUUCUGCCCUGUGAGGGUGCUGAGGCGCUGACACAGGGUGCCCAGAGAAGCUGUGGCUGCCCCAUCCCUGGCAGUGUUCAAGGCCAGGUUGGACACAGGGGCUUGGAGCAACCUGCUCUAGUAGAAGGUGUCCCUGCCCGUGGUUGGAGCUGGAGGAGCUUUAAGGUCCCUUCAUCCCAAACUAUUCUGUGAUUCUAUUUUUCAAAAUGGGGCUGGUUAAAAGUGGUCUGAUAUAUCUGCUAACUCAGGGAGAUUUUAAGUUGCUGUAAAUAAGAAAGUUAUGCCAAGGAAAAAUUCCUUUUCUAUGUGCUCUGUCUCUUAAGAAUUGGUCAAAGAUGGAGAAAAUAAAUGCUGGGCUAGGUGAAACACUGGUCUGAUGUAAUGGGAUUUCAUUUACUCUAACAGUUGUGAACCAAACUACUUUUGAAAAGCAGUCCCAAAUUUAUCUCUCAAAAACCUGUAUCUGUGUGCAGGAUGUGCAAAUACUCUACCAACUGUGGCACAACUGCUUAAACACUGCACCUCCUGCAGGGAUGGGCCCCUGGGAGGAUGGAGUAUUGUGGCUUCAGCCUCUUCUAUAUGUUGUCUUGUGUGGUGCAGAAGCAAAUGCUGUUGGGAUGAUCCUGUUACACAUGGUUGCUCAUGGGCAGCCUGCCUUGAUCUGUGAUGCUUAUGGAAAUGUAAUUGUGGAUUACUGGAGUUUGGAGUGGAAAACACAAUGUCUGCAAAAACAUAAAAGAGGCAAUUCUUGCUGAGAUUCCCAACUUAACUGCAAUGCUGCUACAGGGAUUGAAAUGUUCCACUCCCACAACAAAGCCUGGCCUCUUCAUGCUCUGUCUACAAAGGAAAACUGUAGGAUAAUGAGAUUUUAACGAAGUCAGUAUACCACUAACAUGUUUUAAAGUGGGAGAUUUCCUUCUUGACAGGCUGCUAAUUUGGAAAAUAUGCCACAAAUAUAAAGCAGAUACUGUAGGGUAAAAAGAAUGAAAUCUUUAAAAUGACAAGUUUUGAGGGUUUGUUUGUUGGGUUGGUUUGUUUUUCUUUGAGUCUUUUCUGUAUCUGCAGAGCUUUUGGUAUUUCCCCACUUCCCAGUUUAGAAAUGCAAAGUACUCAUAAUAGAAAUGAGUAUUACAGUAGGAUUCCUGAUGGGAAAGGGACUGCUUUCUUAAAUUAAAAUACAAGGCCACUUGUGAUUUAUAUGUCACCAGGUUAUCUUCUGUGGACUGGCUGAAACAAUGAUGUGUUAUGUAGCUGCAUUCUUACAUGUUAAAUAUAAACCUUACAGGUCCUUGUUUUUCUGCCUGUCUCCGUGCAAUCUGUUUUUAUCAUGUCCUGUGCUCCAUGUUGUCAUCCUUCCCCCUUCUGCUUGUCAAUUCCUUGUGCCUGAUUCUCUGUCACUUUUCGUUCCUGGGACAAUCCCCUUUUUCAGGAAGCCCUCUCUUUUUAACCUGACAGCUUUAGCCUCUCCCAAUGCCUCCUGUUCACAAAAUUGAUGUGCUGUUUGUCAAAGUUGAACUGUAAGCUCCUCAUGGCAGGCCUGUGUCAUCUCUGUGUGUGUAAGGUGAUGUGCACUCUUGCAGUAAUAUCUACAAAUAAAGGUGGUAUUAA